GGGCGGAUGCAGCAAGGCCGCGUGCGGGAAGACGGCCCUAGGGUUGUAAACCGCUUUCAGCAGGGAAGAAACUGACGGUACCUGCAGAAGAAGGUGCGGCCAACUACGUGCCAGCAGCCGCGGUGACACGUAGGCACCAAGCGUUAUCCGGAUUUAUUGGGCGUAAAGAGCUCGUAGGCGGUUUAGUAAGUCGGGUGUGAAAACUCUGGGCUUCAACCCAGAGAGGCCACCCGAUACUGCUAUGACUUGAGUACGGGUAGGGGAGCGGGGAAUUCCUGGUGUAGCGGUGAAAUGCGCAGAUAUCAGGAAGAACACCGGUGGCGAAGGCGCCGCUCUGGGCCGAAACUGACGCUGAGGAGCGAAAGCGUGGGUAGCAAACAGGAUUAGAUACCCUGGUAGUCCACGCCGUAAACGUUGGGCACUAGGUGUGGGUCUCAACUAACGAGAUCCGCGCCGUAGCUAACGCAUUAAGUGCCCCGCCUGGGGAGUACGGUCGCAAGACUAAAACUCAGAGGAAUUGACGG
This 524-nucleotide ribosomal RNA is filed under the name uncultured Ilumatobacter sp. RNAcentral describes it as "bacterial SSU rRNA". It matches the Rfam family "Bacterial small subunit ribosomal RNA", at positions 380 to 916 of the family's 1533-position model. Lineage: Bacteria; Bacillati; Actinomycetota; Acidimicrobiia; Acidimicrobiales; Ilumatobacteraceae. The record is from RNAcentral.